This 653-nucleotide small RNA is filed under the name Pan troglodytes (chimpanzee). Its description in RNAcentral is "processed transcript". Lineage: Eukaryota; Metazoa; Chordata; Mammalia; Primates; Hominidae. The record is from RNAcentral.
GUUCACCUUCGCCGCGUUCUGCUACAUGCUCACCCUGGUGCUGUGCGCCUCCCUCAUCUUCUUUGUCAUCUGGCACAUCAUAGCCUUUGAUGAGCUGCGGACAGACUUCAAGAACCCCAUCGACCAGGGGAACCCUGCGCGGGCACGCGAGCGUUUAAAAAACAUCGAACGCAUCUGCUGCCUCCUGAGGAAGCUGGUGGUCCCAGAAUACUCCAUCCACGGCCUCUUCUGUCUGAUGUUUCUGUGUGCAGCAGAGUGGGUGACCCUGGGCCUCAACAUCCCCCUCCUCUUCUACCACCUCUGGAGGUACUUCCACCGUCCUGCAGAUGGCUCUGAGGUCAUGUAUGAUGCGGUCUCCAUCAUGAAUGCUGACAUUCUCAACUACUGCCAGAAGGAGUCCUGGUGCAAACUUGCCUUCUACCUGCUCUCCUUCUUCUAUUACCUGUACAGGGACCCAGACCCCAAAGGGGUAUGGAAGGCCCAGGACUCAGCCCCAGGACCUGGAUCUGAGACCCCCUUCUCUCCCCAAGACUCGCAGAGUGACUCUCAACACCUCCCCAACCUCUGCAUGGCACGCAGAUCCUCAGGAGACUGCUGGAGACAGCUGCUCCCUCUUAACAGAGCAGUGCUAGAGGUCACUAGGGGCCGAGACA